This 75-nucleotide transfer RNA is filed under the name Nitrospinota bacterium. RNAcentral describes it as "tRNA-Val". It matches the Rfam family "tRNA". From Rfam's summary of the family: Transfer RNA (tRNA) molecules are approximately 80 nucleotides in length. Their secondary structure includes four short double-helical elements and three loops (D, anti-codon, and T loops). Further hydrogen bonds mediate the characteristic L-shaped molecular structure. tRNAs have two regions of fundamental functional importance: the anti-codon, which is responsible for specific mRNA codon recognition, and the 3' end, to which the tRNAs corresponding amino acid is attached (by aminoacyl-tRNA synthetases). tRNAs cope with the degeneracy of the genetic code in two manners: having more than one tRNA (with a specific anti-codon) for a particular amino acid; and 'wobble' base-pairing, i.e. permitting non-standard base-pairing at the 3rd anti-codon position. The record is from RNAcentral. Lineage: Bacteria; Pseudomonadati; Nitrospinota.
GGGCGCGUAGCUCAGGGGGAGAGCGCUUGCUUGACACGCAAGAGGCCGGAGGUUCGAAACCUCCCGCGCCCACCA